RNAcentral lists this long non-coding RNA (525 nucleotides) under Homo sapiens (human). RNAcentral describes it as "HSALNT0008733". The record is from RNAcentral. Lineage: Eukaryota; Metazoa; Chordata; Mammalia; Primates; Hominidae.
CUUGUUCUUCUUAAGCUUUUAGGUUAGUUUAUAAAUCUUAUUAACACAUUCAUAAACAUAGCAAAUUUUAUAAUUACUUUGAAGGAAGAUUUCACAACUUAAUUAAAUUCCUUAAAUAUUUAAGCACAUUUAUUAAUGUAACAUAUUUCUGUUUUCUUUUGAAGUAUACCAAUUAGGUGACUUAAGAAACUUCCCAAGAACUUAAGUCACUCUUAUAAGCCUAAUAAAUUAAAUUUAUAGGUAUGAUGAACCUGAAGUUCUCUUAAAUGUUACAAGUAAGAUUUUAAUCUGAAAUUACAAGCCUAAAGCAAUUACUCACCCAUUUUAGCUUGGAAUUACAAUGUUGACCUGUUAUUAUAAAACGUCCAAUUUUCUUAAAUAAUUCUAGUAACUAAAAUUCUAAUAGGCACAUAUUUCUAAAUAAAAACAUUUUAGAGUUGCGACUUUGACAUUUUCAUGCUCUAUAAUACUAAAUGUUGCUAUCAUUAAACGAUCAGAACAUGGCCAGGCACGUUGGCUCAUGCC